GGUUAAGCGACUAAGCGUACACGGUGGAUGCCCUGGCAGUCAGAGGCGAUGAAGGACGUGCUAAUCUGCGAAAAGCGCCGGCGAGGUGAUAUGAACCUUUGACCCGGCGAUGUCCGAAUGGGGAAACCCAGUGUGUUCCGACACACUAUCGUUAACUGAAUACAUAGGUUAACGAGGCGAACCGGGGGAACUGAAACAUCUAAGUACCCCGAGGAAAAGAAAUCAACCGAGAUUCCCCCAGUAGCGGCGAGCGAACGGGGAGCAGCCCAGAGUCUGAAUCAGCUUGUGUGUUAGUGGAAGCGUCUGGAAAGUCGCACGGUACAGGGUGACAGUCCCGUACACGAAAGCACACAGGUUGUGAACUCGAAGAGUAGGGCGGGACACGUGGUAUCCUGUCUGAAUAUGGGGGGACCAUCCUCCAAGGCUAAAUACUCCUGACUGACCGAUAGUGAACCAGUACCGUGAGGGAAAGGCGAAAAGAACCCCGGCGAGGGGAGUGAAAAAGAACCUGAAACCGUGUACGUACAAGCAGUGGGAGCACCUUCGUGGUGUGACUGCGUACCUUUUGUAUAAUGGGUCAGCGACUUAUAUUCUGUAGCAAGGUUAACCGUAUAGGGGAGCCGAAGGGAAACCGAGUCUUAACUGGGCGUUAAGUUGCAGGGUAUAGACCCGAAACCCGGUGAUCUAGCCAUGGGCAGGUUGAAGGUUGGGUAACACUAACUGGAGGACCGAACCGACUAAUGUUGAAAAAUUAGCGGAUGACUUGUGGCUGGGGGUGAAAGGCCAAUCAAACCGGGAGAUAGCUGGUUCUCCCCGAAAGCUAUUUAGGUAGCGCCUCGUGAACUCAUCUUCGGGGGUAGAGCACUGUUUCGGCUAGGGGGCCAUCCCGGCUUACCAACCCGAUGCAAACUACGAAUACCGAAGAAUGUUAUCACGGGAGACACACGGCGGGUGCUAACGUCCGUCGUGAAGAGGGAAACAACCCAGACCGCCAGCUAAGGUCCCAAAGUCAUGGUUAAGUGGGAAACGAUGUGGGAAGGCACAGACAGCCAGGAUGUUGGCUUAGAAGCAGCCAUCAUUUAAAGAAAGCGUAAUAGCUCACUGGUCGAGUCGGCCUGCGCGGAAGAUGUAACGGGGCUAAACCAUGCACCGAAGCUGCGGCAGCGACGCUUAUGCGUUGUUGGGUAGGGGAGCGUUCUGUAAGCCGUUGAAGGUGUGCUGUGAGGCAUGCUGGAGGUAUCAGAAGUGCGAAUGCUGACAUAAGUAACGAUAAAGCGGGUGAAAAGCCCGCUCGCCGGAAGACCAAGGGUUCCUGUCCAACGUUAAUCGGGGCAGGGUGAGUCGACCCCUAAGGCGAGGCCGAAAGGCGUAGUCGAUGGGAAACAGGUUAAUAUUCCUGUACUUGGUGUUACUGCGAAGGGGGGACGGAGAAGGCUAUGUUAGCCGGGCGACGGUUGUCCCGGUUUAAGCAUGUAGGCGGAACGAUUAGGUAAAUCCGGUCGUUUUUUAACGCUGAGGUGUGAUGACGAGGCACUACGGUGCUGAAGUAACAAAUGCCCUGCUUCCAGGAAAAGCCUCUAAGCAUCAGGUAACAUCAAAUCGUACCCCAAACCGACACAGGUGGUCAGGUAGAGAAUACCAAGGCGCUUGAGAGAACUCGGGUGAAGGAACUAGGCAAAAUGGUGCCGUAACUUCGGGAGAAGGCACGCUGAUAUGUAGGUGAAGCCCCUGCGGGUGGAGCUGAAAUCAGUCGAAGAUACCAGCUGGCUGCAACUGUUUAUUAAAAACACAGCACUGUGCAAACACGAAAGUGGACGUAUACGGUGUGACGCCUGCCCGGUGCCGGAAGGUUAAUUGAUGGGGUUAGCGGCAACGCGAAGCUCUUGAUCGAAGCCCCGGUAAACGGCGGCCGUAACUAUAACGGUCCUAAGGUAGCGAAAUUCCUUGUCGGGUAAGUUCCGACCUGCACGAAUGGCGUAAUGAUGGCCAGGCUGUCUCCACCCGAGACUCAGUGAAAUUGAACUCGCUGUGAAGAUGCAGUGUACCCGCGGCAAGACGGAAAGACCCCGUGAACCUUUACUAUAGCUUGACACUGAACACUGGUCCUUGAUGUGUAGGAUAGGUGGGAGGCUUUGAAGUGUGGACGCCAGUCUGCAUGGAGCCGUCCUUGAAAUACCACCCUUUAAUGGCUGGUGUUCUAACGUAGACCCGUAAUCCGGGUUGCGGACAGUGUCUGGUGGGUAGUUUGACUGGGGCGGUCUCCUCCCAAAGAGUAACGGAGGAGCACGAAGGUUAGCUAAUCCUGGUCGGACAUCAGGAGGUUAGUGCAAUGGCAUAAGCUAGCUUGACUGCGAGAGUGACGGCUCGAGCAGGUGCGAAAGCAGGUCAUAGUGAUCCGGUGGUUCUGAAUGGAAGGGCCAUCGCUCAACGGAUAAAAGGUACUCCGGGGAUAACAGGCUGAUACCGCCCAAGAGUUCAUAUCGACGGCGGUGUUUGGCACCUCGAUGUCGGCUCAUCACAUCCUGGGGCUGAAGUAGGUCCCAAGGGUAUGGCUGUUCGCCAUUUAAAGUGGUACGCGAGCUGGGUUUAGAACGUCGUGAGACAGUUCGGUCCCUAUCUGCCGUGGGCGCUGGAGAAUUGAGGGGGGCUGCUCCUAGUACGAGAGGACCGGAGUGGACGCAUCACUGGUGUUCGGGUUGUCAUGCCAAUGGCACUGCCCGGUAGCUAAAUGCGGAAAAGAUAAGUGCUGAAAGCAUCUAAGCACGAAACUUGCCCCGAGAUGAGUUCUCCCUGAGACUUUAAGUCUCCUGAAGGAACGUUGAAGACGACGACGUUGAUAGGUCGGGUGUGUAAGCGCAGCGAUGCGUUGAGCUAACCGAUACUAAUGAACCGUGAGGCUUAACCUU
RNAcentral lists this ribosomal RNA (2906 nucleotides) under Enterobacter roggenkampii. Its description in RNAcentral is "23S ribosomal RNA". It matches the Rfam family "Bacterial large subunit ribosomal RNA". Lineage: Bacteria; Pseudomonadati; Pseudomonadota; Gammaproteobacteria; Enterobacterales; Enterobacteriaceae. The record is from RNAcentral.